CCUACGGGUGGCAGCAGUGAGGAAUAUUGGUCAAUGGGCGCGCGCCUGAACCAGCCAAGUCGCGUGAAGGAUGACUGCCCUACGGGUUGUAAACUUCUUUUCUAAGGGAGUAAAGUGAGGCACGUGUGCCUUGUUGUAUGUUCUUUGUAAAUAAGGAACGGCCAACUCCGUGCCAGCAGCCCGCGUAAUACGGAGGAUCCGAGCGUUAUCCGGGUUUAUUGGGUUUAAAGGGAGCGUAGAUGGGUUGUUAAGUCAUUUGUGAAAGUGUGCGGCUCAACCGUAAAAUUGCAAUUGAUACUGGCAGCCUUGAGUACAGGAGAGGUAGGCGGAAUUCGUGGUGUAGCGGUGAAAUGCUUAGAUAUCACGAAGAACUCCGAUUGCGAAGGCAGCCUACUAAACUGCCACUGACAUUGAUGCUCGAAAGUGUGGGUAUCAAACAGGAUUAGAUACCCCUGUAGUC
Molecule: ribosomal RNA, 460 nt
Filed under: uncultured bacterium
Lineage: Bacteria
Description: partial 16S ribosomal RNA
Rfam family: Bacterial small subunit ribosomal RNA
Source: RNAcentral